UAAGGGCGUACGGUGGAUGCCUUGGCGAUAUCAGCCGAAGAAGGACGCGGUAAGCUGCGAUAAGCUACGGAGAGGUGCAAGCAACCUGUGACCCGUAGAUUUCCGAAUGGGGGAACCCGGCAGUGGUUAUGCACUGUCACCCAUAGCUUAGACUAUGAGGAGGGCACCUGGGGAACUGAAACAUCUAAUUACCCAGAGGAACAGUAAUCAAACGAGAUUUUCUUAGUAGCGGCGAGCGAACGGGAAAGAGGCCAAACCGGAGCGGGCAACCGCACCGGGGUUGAGGACAGUCAUCAAGUGUAAAUGAGGUAGAAGAAUCGAGCUGGAAAGCUCAGCCGCAGAAGGUGAAAGCCCUGUAAUCGAAACCUUGCAUACACGGGACUGUAUCCAGAGUACCACGAGACACGUGAAACCUUGUGGGAAGCAGGGGGGACCACCCUCCAAGCCAAAAUACUGAUAUCGACCGAUAGCGCAUAGUACCGUGAGGGAAAGGUGAAAAGAACCCCUGGCGGGGAGUGAAAGAGAACCUGAAACCGUAUGUCUACAAACAGUCGAAGUCUGUAUAUAUAUCAGGACGACGGCGUGCCUAUUGAAGAAUGAACCGACGAGUUACUGUUGCUAGCGAGGUUAAGUGGAAAACAUGGAGCCGCAGCGAAAGCGAGUCUGAACAGGGCGUUCAGUUAGUAAUAGUAGACCCGAAACCGUAGUGAUCUAUCCAUGGCCAGGUUGAAGCACAGGUAAAAUUGUGUGGAGGACCGAACUCGUGAGCGUUGAAAAGCUUUGGGAUGAGUUGUGGAUAGGGGUGAAAUGCCAAUCGAACACGGAGAUAGCUGGUUCUCCCCGAAAUAGCUUUAGGGCUAGCCUCGAGGUAGAGAGUAUAGGCGGUAGAGCACUGAUCGGGCUAGGGGCCAUACCGGUUACCGAACCUAGUCAAACUACGAAUGGCUAUACUUAUACUCGGGAGUCAGACAGUGAAUGAUAAGGUCCAUUGUCAAGAGGGAAACAGCCCAGAACACCGACUAAGGUCCCCAAUGUUACACUAAGUGGCGAAGGAUGUGGAAUUUCCAAAACAACCAGGAUGUUGGCUUAGAAGCAGCCACCAUUUAAAGAGUGCGUAAUAGCUCACUGGUCGAGAGACUCUGCGCCGAAAAUGUCCGGGGCUAAAGUGUAAAACCGAAGUCGUGUCAUAUGCAGCAAUGUAUAUGGGUAGGGGAGCGUUCUCAUCGGGCUGAAGCAGUACCGUAAGGAGUUGUGGACUGAUGAGAAGUGAGAAUGUCGGUAUGAGUAGCGAAAAGAAUGGUGAGAAUCCAUUCCACCGAAAGCCUAAGGGUUCCUGAGCAACGAUCGUCGUCUCAGGGUAAGUCGGGACCUAAGCCGAGGCGGAAAAGCGUAGGCGAUGGACAACAGGUUGAAAUUCCUGUACCGGUGUGAAUCGUUUGAUCGAUGGAGUGACACAGUAAGGUAGGUCAGCACGCGAUUGGAAGAGCGUGUUUAAGCAGGUAGGUUGAGCUAUAGGCAAAUCCGUAGCUCUAAAAGCUGAGAUGUGAUGACGAGUGACUAGCAAUAGUCGCGAAGUGAUUGAUCCUACACUGUCGAGAAAAGCUUCUAGGUAGAGACACAUCGCCCGUACCAAAACCGACACAGGUAGGCGGGGAGAGAAUCCUAAGGUGCGCGGGAAAACCCUCGUUAAGGAACUCGGCAAAAUGCCUCCGUAACUUCGGGAAAAGGAGGACUCAUGUAGUGUGAAGAGCAGAAGCGCUUGGAGCAUGAAUGAGUGGCACAAGAGAGGCGCAAGCGACUGUUUACCACAAACACAGGUGCCUGCUAAAGCGAAAGCUGAUGUAUAGGUGCUGACACCUGCCCGGUGCUGGAAGGUUAAGAGGAGGGGUUAGACUUCGGUCGAAGCUCUGAAUUGAAGCCCCAGUAAACGGCGGCCGUAACUAUAACGGUCCUAAGGUAGCGAAAUUCCUUGUCGGGU
RNAcentral lists this ribosomal RNA (1978 nucleotides) under human gut metagenome. RNAcentral describes it as "bacterial LSU rRNA". It matches the Rfam family "Bacterial large subunit ribosomal RNA", at positions 12 to 1977 of the family's 2925-position model. The record is from RNAcentral.